RNAcentral lists this transfer RNA (75 nucleotides) under Thermomonospora curvata DSM 43183. It matches the Rfam family "tRNA". Rfam says of the family: Transfer RNA (tRNA) molecules are approximately 80 nucleotides in length. Their secondary structure includes four short double-helical elements and three loops (D, anti-codon, and T loops). Lineage: Bacteria; Bacillati; Actinomycetota; Actinomycetes; Streptosporangiales; Thermomonosporaceae. The record is from Rfam by way of RNAcentral.
GCCCCCGUAGCCCAACCGGGAGAGGCGGGCCCCCUAAAAGGGCCAUUGGUGUCGGUUCGAAUCCGACCGGGGGCA